CAUCUGAGUACAUUGUAAACAUUUUUGUAUCUAUUGGUGCCAUGCAAAUGGAAUGACUUUAGAGACUGCAGAAAGGAGGGAAAGUGCCUUUGUUAUAGUUUAAAUAGUUCUACCCCUUGAGAGACUCCCAAUCCCUGGGUGCAAACAAUUUAAAACUGGGUUGAAGAUUUUACCUUAGCGUCACAAGAUCUGGAUGUUCUGUUUUGGAAAGG
Molecule: long non-coding RNA, 212 nt
Organism: Chelonia mydas (Green sea turtle)
Lineage: Eukaryota; Metazoa; Chordata; Testudines; Cheloniidae
Exons: 3
Source: RefSeq, a predicted model, not a curated record